UCGGAUAUGGUGUAACGGCUAACAUUACCGCCUCUCAUUCAGUGCACCGCGGUAGCUCGGGGUUCGAUUCCCCGUAUCCGAA
This is a non-coding RNA of Gymnopilus junonius, 82 nucleotides long. NCBI's taxonomy places the organism in Eukaryota, Fungi, Basidiomycota, Agaricomycetes, Agaricales, Galerinaceae. The record is from the annotation of a GenBank genome assembly.